Ribosomal RNA from Thermodesulfobium narugense DSM 14796, 3006 nucleotides. It matches the Rfam family "Bacterial large subunit ribosomal RNA". The record is from Rfam. Lineage: Bacteria; Pseudomonadati; Thermodesulfobiota; Thermodesulfobiia; Thermodesulfobiales; Thermodesulfobiaceae.
CGUCAAGUUUUUACGGGCACACGGUGAAUGCCUUGGCGUCGAAAGCCGAUGAAGGACGUGGUAAGCUGCGAUAAGCUUCGGGUAGCCGCAAACAGGCUUUGAUCCGAAGAUCUCCGAAUGGGGAAACCCAAUAGAGUGACAAACUCUAUUAUCAUGAACUGAAUACAUAGGUUCAUGAGGACAACCCAGGGAAGUGAAACAUCUCAGUACCUGGAGGAAAAGAAAUCAACCGAGAUUCCCUUAGUAGCGGCGAGCGAAACGGGAAGAGCCUAAACCAGGUUCAUGUCAAGCCUGCUGGCGUUGUGGACCUGGGGUUGUGGGAGCCUUCUGCUGAAGCAGCAGAUUCAGCAAGGAGUUACAAAGACUUGUAGUAGAUGAACUUGCCUGGAAAGGUAGGCCAGAGAAGGUGAAAGCCCUGUAAUCGAAACUACAAGUCCUCCUGAAGGAUUUCCCAAGUACCAUGAGGCACGUGAAACCUCGUGGGAAUCUGGGUGGACCAUCAUCCAAGGCUAAAUACUCUUCGACGACCGAUAGCGCAUAGUACCGUGAGGGAAAGGUGAAAAGAACCCCGGAAGGGGAGUGAAAUAGAACCUGAAACCGUGUGCUCACAAGCAGUCAUAGCUCUAAGAUUGGCUUCGGCCAAUCGGAGUGGUGGCGUACCUGUUGAAGAAUGGGCCGGCGAGUUACGUUCUGUGGCAAGGUUAAGAGGUGAUCCCUCGGAGCCGUAGCGAAAGCGAGUCUUAAUAGGGCGAUUAGUCAUUGGACGUAGACGCGAAACCGGGUGACCUAUCCAUGGCCAGGUUGAAGCGUGACUAACCUCACGCGGAGGACCGAACCAGUUAUCGUUGAAAAGAUAUUGGAUGAGCUGUGGAUAGAGGUGAAAUGCCAAUCGAACUCGGUGAUAGCUCGUUCUCCCCGAAAUUGCUUUAAGGCUAGCCUCAAGUUAACCUUUCCGGGGGUAGAGCACUGUUCGAGCUAGGGGUCCUACCAGACUACCGAACUCUUACAAACUCCGAAUACCGGAAAGUCUUGCUUGGGAGUGGGACGGUGGUGGAUAAGCUCCAUCGUCGAGAGGGAAACAGCCCAGACCAUCAGCUAAGGCCCCCAAAUGCAGACUAAGUGGGAAAGGAAGUGAAUCGGCUAAAACAGCCAGGAUGUUGGCUUAGAAGCAGCCAUCAUUAAAAGAGUGCGUAACAGCUCACUGGUCGAGUCGAUUUGCGCCUAAAACUCAACGGGGCUCAAGUCUGCUGCCGAAGCUAUGGAUUCAAUACAUAUACUGUAUUGUCUGGUAGGGGAGCGUUCUUAAAGGGCUGAAGGAGGACUCGUGAGAGCCUCUGGACUUUUAAGAAGUGAGAAUGCCGGCAUAAGUAACGAUAAGGAGAGUGGAAAUCUCUCCCGCCGUAAGACCAAGGUUUCCUGGGGAAGGCUCGUCCGCCCAGGGUUAGUCGGGCCUAAGCUGAGGCCGAAAGGCGUAGGCGAUGGACAUCCGGUUAAUAUUCCGGAACCAUCUCAAGAGCGUUUGUACGAUGGGGUGACGCUGCAAGAAAGGUUAGCCAGCGGACGGUUGUGCUGGUACAAGCUCGUAGGCUAAGGGAUAGGCAAAUCCGUCCCUUAUAAAGGCCGAGAAGUGAUGUGGAGGGGACACGUUCCCCGAACUAAUUGGACAAGCAGCCAAGAAAAACCUCUAAGGAGUUCUUGAGGUGUCCGUACCGCAAACCGACACAGGUGGUCGAGGAGAAUAUCCUAAGGCGUGCAGGAGCACCCUCGUUAAGGAACUCGGCAAAAUAGCCCCGUAACUUCGGAAGAAGGGGUGCCCUUGUAAUGUGUAGUGACUUGCUCACGAAGCAUGAAGGGGUCGCAGUAAAGAGGCUCGGGCGACUGUUUACCAAAAACAUAGGUCUCUGCUAAGCCGUAAGGCGAAGUAUAGGGGCUGACACCUGCCCAGUGCCGGAAGGUCAAGGGGAAGAGUUAGCCGCAAGGCGAAGCUCUGAACUUAAGCCCCGGUGAACGGCGGCCGUAACUAUAACGGUCCUAAGGUAGCGAAAUUCCUUGUCGGGUAAGUUCCGACCCGCACGAAAGGUGUAACGAUCCGAGCGCUGUCUCAACGAGGGACCUGGUGAAUUUGGGAUAUCCGUGAAGACACGGAUUACUUGCAAAGGGACGGAAAGACCCCAUGAAGCUUUACUGUAGUCUGACAUUGCGUUUUGAUAAUUCAUGUACAGGAUAGGUGGGAGGCUGUGAAGGAAGGGCGCCAGCUCUUCUGGAGCCGUCCUUGGGAUACCACCCUUGAAUUAUUGGGACGCUAACUUGCAUCCGUUAUCCGGAGCAAGGACAGUGUUUGAUGGGCAGUUUGACUGGGGCGGUCGCCUCCCAAAAGGUAACGGAGGCGUCCAAAGGUCACCUCAGCGUGAUUGGAAACCACGCGUCGAGUGUAAAGGUAUAAGGUGGCUUGACUGUGAGAGAGACAUCUCGAGCAGGGACGAAAGUCGGGCUUAGUGAUCCGACGGUUCAGCAUGGAAUGGCCGUCGCUUAACGGAUAAAAGUUACUCUGGGGAUAACAGGCUUAUCUCCCCCAAGAGUCCACAUCGACGGGGAGGUUUGGCACCUCGAUGUCGGCUCAUCGCAUCCUGGGGCUGAAGUAGGUCCCAAGGGUUAGGCUGUUCGCCUAUUAAAGCGGUACGUGAGCUGGGUUCAGAACGUCGUGAGACAGUUUGGUCCCUAUCUUUUGCAAGCGCAAGAAACUUGAGGAGGUCUAUCCCUAGUACGAGAGGACCGGGAUGGCGGAGCCUCCAGUGCAUCGGCUGUGGUGCCAACUGCAAGGUCGAGUAGCUGUGCUCCGUGUGGAUAAGCGCUGAAAGCAUAUAAGCGCGAAGCCCUCUCCAAGAUUAGGUUUCUCAUCCAGCAAUGGAGUAAGACCCCUGGGAGACUACCAGGUUGAUAGGCCAGAGGUGUAAGCAUGGCAACAUGUUCAGCUGACUGGUACUAAUAGGUCGAGGACUUGACGGU